AUCUUUAUUUUUAUAUGAAAAAAUUUUUUUUUUUUUAAGAGUGGGGUUUUAAAUAUAAAGUUUUCGCGAGACCAUAACCAAAGGUCAGGUUCGCUAAAAUCGGUAAUGAUCCUUCCGCAGGUUCACCUACGGAAA
Molecule: unclassified non-coding RNA, 135 nt
Filed under: uncultured fungus
Lineage: Eukaryota; Fungi
Description: sequence contains ITS1
Source: RNAcentral